This 469-nucleotide long non-coding RNA is filed under the name Astyanax mexicanus (Mexican tetra). RNAcentral describes it as "lncRNA (ENSAMXG00005006164.1)". The record is from RNAcentral. Lineage: Eukaryota; Metazoa; Chordata; Actinopteri; Characiformes; Acestrorhamphidae.
AAACGGCGGCUGUGCUGUAGCUAUAGCUGUGGUUGCUGCUUUUACAGACCGCAAAAAUGAACUGGGAUAAUCAGCUCAGCUCUAUUAUAUCAGCAGCUGAUGGAAGUGUUGCUAAAAUGCGGGAACGACUUACCACACAUGGAAGACUUUCCAGAGAAAGAGAAGAUGUGUUUCCAAUGAGAGAGAGGAGUCAUGCUGUGGGUCUGGAACCCUGUGUUCCCCCUCUCCUUCCCCAGGCCUCCCCCGCACUCAGUGGAGCUGUUCAGUGGGCAGACCUGGCAGGUUUGCAGGCCCAGCUCCACAGCCACAGCCAGACUAUAGAAUUUUUAUCAAAGAGCUUGAUGUCUGUAGAGAGAGAAAGAAAUGCUCAGCAAAGACAAAUACAAACAUUACAAGGUGAGUAUCCACUCUUUGUUGUAAAUAAUUAGGGCCUCCAAACUCAGUCCAAACUUAACAUGACACAUUUCAC